This 60-nucleotide transfer RNA is filed under the name Neuroctenus yunnanensis. RNAcentral describes it as "tRNA-Ala". It matches the Rfam family "tRNA". Rfam says of the family: Transfer RNA (tRNA) molecules are approximately 80 nucleotides in length. Their secondary structure includes four short double-helical elements and three loops (D, anti-codon, and T loops). Lineage: Eukaryota; Metazoa; Arthropoda; Insecta; Hemiptera; Aradidae. The record is from RNAcentral.
GGGGUUGUAGUUAAUUAUAACAUUUAAUUUGCAAUUAGAAAGUACGCAUAGUCAUCCUCA